RNAcentral lists this ribosomal RNA (440 nucleotides) under uncultured bacterium. Its description in RNAcentral is "partial 16S ribosomal RNA". It matches the Rfam family "Bacterial small subunit ribosomal RNA", at positions 338 to 795 of the family's 1533-position model. The record is from RNAcentral.
CCUACGGGAGGCAGCAGUGGGGAAUAUUGGACAAUGGGGGGAACCCUGAUCCAGCGACGCCGCGUGAGUGAAGAAGUAUUUCGGUAUGUAAACUUCUAUUAGCAGGGAAGAAAAUGACGGUACCUGACUAAGAAGCCUCGGCUAACUACGUGCCAGCAGCCGCGGUCAUACGUAGGGGGCAAGCGUUAUCCGGAUUUACUGGGUGUAAAGGGAGCGUAGGCGGUUCAGAAAGUCCGAUGGAAAAGGGCGGGGGCAAACACGGGGACUACUUGUGAAACUGUUGAACUGGAGUCCGGGAGAGGUAACGGGAAUUCCUAGUGUAGGGGUGAAAUGCGUAGAUAUUAGGAGGAACACCAAGGGCGAAGGCGGCUUGCUGGAACGUAAAUGACGCUGAGGCUCGAAAGCGUAGGGAGCAAACAGGAUUAGAUACCCGAGUAGUC